Non-coding RNA from Polychaeton citri CBS 116435, 89 nucleotides. NCBI's taxonomy places the organism in Eukaryota, Fungi, Ascomycota, Dothideomycetes, Capnodiales, Capnodiaceae. The record is from the annotation of a GenBank genome assembly.
GGCUUUGUAGUGUAGUGGUAAUCACUUCAGAUUUUGACGCCGCGCUCAAAUUCUUUCUGAUAACCCAGGUUCGAACCCUGGCAAGGCCU